UACGUAGGGGGCAAGCGUUAUCCGGAUUUACUGGGUGUAAAGGGAGCGUAGACGGCAAAGCAAGUCUGAAGUGAAAGCCCGGGGCUCAACCCCGGGACUGCUUUGGAAACUGCUUGGCUAGAGUGCAGGAGAGGUAAGUGGAAUUCCUAGUGUAGCGGUGAAAUGCGUAGAUAUUAGGAGGAACACCAGUGGCGAAGGCGACUUACUGGACUGUAACUGACGUUGAGGCUCGAAAGCGUGGGGAGCAAAC
This 250-nucleotide ribosomal RNA is filed under the name uncultured bacterium. Its description in RNAcentral is "partial 16S ribosomal RNA". It matches the Rfam family "Bacterial small subunit ribosomal RNA", at positions 524 to 773 of the family's 1533-position model. The record is from RNAcentral.